GACGAACGCUGGUGGCGUGCCUAAUACAUGCAAGUCGAGCGGACCAAUAGAAGCUUGCUUCUGUUGGUUAGCGGCGGACGGGUGAGUAACACGUGGGCAACCUGCCUGUAAGACUGGGAUAACUUCGGGAAACCGGAGCUAAUACCGGAUAAUUCAUCCCCUCGCAUGAGGGGAUGCUGAAAGUCGGUUUACGCUGACACUUACAGAUGGGCCCGCGGCGCAUUAGCUAGUUGGUGAGGUAAUGGCUCACCAAGGCGACGAUGCGUAGCCGACCUGGGAGGGUGAUCGGCCACACGGGGACUGAGACACGGCCCAGACUCCUACGGGAGGCAGCAGUAGGGAAUCUUCCACAAUGGACGAAAGUCUGAUGGAGCAACGCCGCGUGAGCGAUGAAGGCCUUCGGGUCGUAAAGCUCUGUUGUUAGGGAAGAACAAGUAUCGGAGUAACUGCCGGUACCUUGACGGUACCUAACCAGAAAGCCACGGCUAACUACGUGCCAGCAGCCGCCGUAA
RNAcentral lists this ribosomal RNA (512 nucleotides) under uncultured bacterium. Its description in RNAcentral is "partial 16S ribosomal RNA". It matches the Rfam family "Bacterial small subunit ribosomal RNA", at positions 28 to 523 of the family's 1533-position model. The record is from RNAcentral.